UAUGAUUAAAAAUGAAUUUAGAAACAAAAUAAUUUUCAAUUAUCCAACGAUAGCAAAAUCAUACAUACUAAACAAAGCAACCAGAUGAUACUCAUGCUUAUAUACUCGAAAAAAUAUGGUGAAAAUGCAUGGACCAAAGUAUAAACGUUUAAUUCGAGAUAAUAGUACGUAAAAUAGAGCAACAAAGUAAUGAAACUGAAAAAAAAUACAAUAGCAUGCAUCGACUUGAAUUCGUAAUCCACUUCGCAACCUGAAGAAGAAGAAUGAAUGAAUGAAUUACACCAUGCCUACAUUGAUAAACUUUAUUGCCACUUAAUGAAAGAAACUUGAAACUUNNNN
RNAcentral lists this long non-coding RNA (339 nucleotides) under Olea europaea (common olive). Its description in RNAcentral is "long non-coding RNA (OEUR_LNC010578)". The record is from RNAcentral. Lineage: Eukaryota; Viridiplantae; Streptophyta; Magnoliopsida; Lamiales; Oleaceae.